AGGGGCUGUACCGAUGCCUGACAUUGCUGAGACAUAAAGUUUAAAAGGGUGAAGUAAUGUAAAUUUUCUAAAUUUUGAUACAAUAUUGAAUGGUAAAUUCAUCACAUAUUCUACUAUAAAUUAGUUUUUUUUUAAGCAAUAUAAAUUAGCUUAUUUAUUCAACAAAUCUUUGAAUAUUAAUUAUGGCCACGCCAGAAAAGUCUAUACCAGAAAGUAGAGUGAAUAAUUCUGAGAUCUCAAACUAAGAUGAUUAACAAAUAAUCAACUUGAACAAUUAUUAAUGUUGCUUGCAGGUUUAUUCAUUUAAUUAAAACUGUAGCACCUGAUGCAGAAAACUAUGCAGAAGGUAUGUAUGUAUGGCUCGCUAAGCGAUCAUUUCUGUUAUGACAAGCAAGGUGACUGAUGUUGCUUUAAGCGCGAGCCAUUUUGGUCGAAAGUUUAUGAUGUGAACGUGACUGAUGCUUUCUUUUCUUCUACAUUACAUUAGACUUUCACUUAUUCUGAAUUCAAAAGUCAUCUGCAGCUUCAUGAAACUUUAUUAUCAAUUUAUGUAAUUCUGUUAUUACUUUUUGUUGUUGUGCCGAUUUGAAAACUCGAUGAGAUUUUCUGUCAUCAUAGAGAUAAAUAACAGAGCAUCGUAUUUGUUUGAGUGAUUUCCAUUUGUUGAAUGAAUUUUGAGUUCUAAUAUUAUAUUUGGAAA
Molecule: long non-coding RNA, 700 nt
Filed under: Medicago truncatula (barrel medic)
Lineage: Eukaryota; Viridiplantae; Streptophyta; Magnoliopsida; Fabales; Fabaceae
Description: lncRNA gene29468
Source: RNAcentral